RNAcentral lists this ribosomal RNA (301 nucleotides) under uncultured bacterium. RNAcentral's name for it is "partial 16S ribosomal RNA". It matches the Rfam family "Bacterial small subunit ribosomal RNA", at positions 509 to 809 of the family's 1533-position model. The record is from RNAcentral.
CAGCAGCCACGGUAAUACGGAGGAUCCAAGCGUUAUCCGGAUUUAUUGGGUUUAAAGGGUGCGUAGGUGGCUUUUUAAGUCAGGGGUGAAAGACGGUAGCUUAACUAUCGCAGUGCCUUUGAUACUGAAGAGCUUGAAUGAACUAGAGGUAGGAGGAAUGUGACAAGUAGCGGUGAAAUGCAUAGAUAUGUCACAGAACACCAAUUGCGAAGGCAGCUUACUAUGGUUUUAUUGACACUGAGGCACGAAAGCGUGGGGAGCGAACAGGAUUAGAUACCCGCGUAGUCCCUGUCUCUUAUAA